ACAUGAGCUCAUGUGUAGGUUUAGAGGCAAAAUCCUGUUUGCUGAGGAUUAAUAUAAUAAUGGUGCUCUUUUGUUUUAGUGUCUUGUAGCUGAGCUGUCUCUGGAGAGAGUGAAAAUAAUUUAGGCAAAAGAAUGAAAAAGGCUGGAUGGAUUCCUUGGCCAUGAAGCUGGGCAAGGCUGAUAUAGGAUGCUGCUGCCUAUUGUAUCUUCAGGCUGCAGCAACAGGCUGAGGGUGAAGAAUCUUUUGCUUCUGGAGAACUGCGUACCCAAGCAGAGAAGGAGGAGAAAUUGAGAGUGGUGGGUGUCUUGCAGUAAAUUGUCCAUCCCCAGAUUAUCAGGGUGCUCUUUCCAUUUUGUUCUAAAUUUCCCUCCUCCGUGCAGCUUCCUGCUGAGUUCCUCUAACAACAUCAGUCAUGGCAUUUACUUACUUGGGAUUCUCUGAUUUUGUGGAUAACCCUGAGGAUCUUC
Long non-coding RNA from Athene cunicularia (burrowing owl), 468 nucleotides. RefSeq lists it as uncharacterized. The transcript has 3 exons. Lineage: Eukaryota; Metazoa; Chordata; Aves; Strigiformes; Strigidae. The record is from RefSeq and is a predicted model, not a curated record.